RNAcentral lists this long non-coding RNA (208 nucleotides) under Bos mutus (wild yak). RNAcentral's name for it is "lncRNA (ENSBMUG00000025616.1)". Lineage: Eukaryota; Metazoa; Chordata; Mammalia; Artiodactyla; Bovidae. The record is from RNAcentral.
GAACUGCUGUGGGCCAGCCAGUGGGUGCAGAAGGUCUUAUACCCCUGCAGUUGGAGCAGGAAGGAGAACUCGUGAAUGAGUGAGGUUCGCAGUCCUGGAAUACGUGCACUCCAGAGGCAUUUAAUGAAAGUUAUGAUGAAUGUUUUUGACGAGAAAAGAAUGAAAUGAGAGACCAUCCUGAACCUGGAGACUGAAACAAAGAAGCUCC